AUACGGAGGGUGCAAACGUUGCUCGGAAUCAUUGGGCGUAAAGCGUGCGUAGGCGGUUUGGCAAGUCGGGUGUGAAAGCCCUCGGCUCAACCGAGGAAGUGCAUUCGAAACUGCCAAACUUGAAUACUGGAGAGGGUGGCGGAAUUCCCGGUGUAGAGGUGAAAUUCGUAGAUAUCGGGAGGAACACCAGUGGCGAAGGCGGCCACCUGGACAGAUAUUGACGCUGAGGUACGAAAGCGUGGGGAGCAAACAGGAUUAGAAACCCCGGUAGUCC
RNAcentral lists this ribosomal RNA (274 nucleotides) under uncultured bacterium. Its description in RNAcentral is "partial 16S ribosomal RNA". It matches the Rfam family "Bacterial small subunit ribosomal RNA", at positions 523 to 796 of the family's 1533-position model. The record is from RNAcentral.